RNAcentral lists this ribosomal RNA (468 nucleotides) under uncultured bacterium. RNAcentral describes it as "partial 16S ribosomal RNA". It matches the Rfam family "Bacterial small subunit ribosomal RNA", at positions 28 to 507 of the family's 1533-position model. The record is from RNAcentral.
GACGAACGCUGGCGGCGUGCUUAACACAUGCAAGUCGAACGGAAAGGCCCUGCUUUUGUGGGUUGCUCGAGUGGCGAACGGGUGAGUAACACGUGAGUAACCUGCCUUUGACUUUGGGAUAACUUCAGGAAACUGGGGCUAAUACCGGAUAGGAGCUCCUGCUGCAUGGUGGGGGUUGGAAAGUUUCGGCGGUUGGGGAUGGACUCGCGGAUUAUCAGCUUGUUGGUGGGGUAGUGGCUUACCAAGGGUUUGACGGGUAGCCGGCCUGAGAGGGUGACCGGCCACAUUGGGACUGAGAUACGGCCCAGACUGCUACGGGAGGCAGCAGUGGGGAAUAUUGCACAAUGGGCGGAAGCCUGAUGCAGCAACGCCGCGUGCGGGAUGACGGCCUUCGGGUUGUAAACCGCUUUCGCCUGUGACGAAGCGUGAGUGACGGUAAUGGGUAGAGAAGCAACGGCUAACUACGUG